GGAGACAUCCGUUCACCAGGACUGUCCCUGGGCCUCUCGCCUCCGUGUCUCUCUGUGGCUGUGCCACCUGUGCCCACGCACCUGUUUCUUCCAUGAGGAGGAACACGGCAGCCAAGAGCUCCCGAGUCUGAUCCACGGCAGGUUCUGGCGCAGGACUCACUCUGAUCCUUGGUCUCCAAACCCGGGAACCCGUCCUUUGACCGGUGGGCAGUGGCCAGGAGAGGGCGGGUGUUAGGACUGUCUCCCCGGCUGCUGUCAGCUGACCGAUGACGCUGCGUCCCUCUGCGACCCCAACCAGCCUUUAAUCCUCCGUGGAACAUAACACGCUCCGCAGGGGCCGAAGACCGGGAUGUGGACAUCGGGAUGGGGGCCGGCCAGCAAUCCAAUCCGACUUGGUCCAGCUGCGCAGCUCCUGAGGAUGGACCUUCCAUGGGAUGAUGCCGUGGAGGGUCCUGUCCCCCGGGACCCCCAAGUCCUCUGCGGGAGAUGGACCUGUGCCAGCGCAGAGGACCCGACAGUGUCUUCAGGGACAUGGAGCGUCUCGCUAGCUGAGACCUUCCAGGUUGGUGCUCCCGACCCAGGUCUUGAGGAACGGAGAGGUCAGGUUGCACAGGAGAACAUUCCAGGCUGAGGAAACAGCACAAGCCCGGGGUAGCAGCCUGGGGGAGGCCGGCCUGGUCUGAGCACAGCGACAGGCAAGGCCCAGGGUCCAGGCCACAGAGACCGACUUUCAGUGAGGGUGAGAGUCACAGAAGGGUGGAGCGGGGCGGGCCGUGGGGUUGGCCUCAAGGGCAGUGUGGUGCCCCCAAGA
Nyctereutes procyonoides (raccoon dog) is the source of this 811-nucleotide long non-coding RNA. RefSeq lists it as uncharacterized. The record is from RefSeq and is a predicted model, not a curated record. The transcript is spliced from 3 exons. Lineage: Eukaryota; Metazoa; Chordata; Mammalia; Carnivora; Canidae.